This 73-nucleotide transfer RNA is filed under the name archaeon. RNAcentral's name for it is "tRNA-His". It matches the Rfam family "tRNA". From Rfam's summary of the family: Transfer RNA (tRNA) molecules are approximately 80 nucleotides in length. Their secondary structure includes four short double-helical elements and three loops (D, anti-codon, and T loops). Further hydrogen bonds mediate the characteristic L-shaped molecular structure. tRNAs have two regions of fundamental functional importance: the anti-codon, which is responsible for specific mRNA codon recognition, and the 3' end, to which the tRNAs corresponding amino acid is attached (by aminoacyl-tRNA synthetases). tRNAs cope with the degeneracy of the genetic code in two manners: having more than one tRNA (with a specific anti-codon) for a particular amino acid; and 'wobble' base-pairing, i.e. permitting non-standard base-pairing at the 3rd anti-codon position. The record is from RNAcentral.
GCUGCGAUGGUGCAGUGGUCUAGCAUGGAGGACUGUGGAUCCUCCGACUCGGGUUCAAAUCCCGAUCGCGGCC